GAAGGUUUGUUUUUAGUUUUAACAUUUGAUGAAGGGGUCAUAGCAGAACAUUGUUUCAUGAAUGGGGUGUAGGAGAUCAUCUCUUUGAUUAGGCAAAACUAGUUACUUCCAUUGAUUAUGUAUAAUCAUGUCUAUUAGGAUACAUAUUAUCAUUCUCACCUUUAGGUCUACAUGGUAACACUAUCUUGUAUUGAUGUUAAAAUUAGGAUACAUAUUAUCAUUCUCACCUUUAGGUCUACAUGGUAACACUAUCUUGUAUUGAUGUUAAACCUUGUUUACUUGAGCACAUAUGACAAUUU
RNAcentral lists this long non-coding RNA (299 nucleotides) under Lathyrus oleraceus (garden pea). RNAcentral's name for it is "Pisum sativum (pea) long non-coding RNA (PSAT_LNC036471)". The record is from RNAcentral. Lineage: Eukaryota; Viridiplantae; Streptophyta; Magnoliopsida; Fabales; Fabaceae.